This 252-nucleotide ribosomal RNA is filed under the name uncultured bacterium. RNAcentral describes it as "partial 16S ribosomal RNA". It matches the Rfam family "Bacterial small subunit ribosomal RNA", at positions 524 to 776 of the family's 1533-position model. The record is from RNAcentral.
UACGUAGGUCCCGAGCGUUGUCCGGAUUUAUUGGGCGUAAAGCGAGCGCAGGUGGUUUAUUAAGUCUGGUGUAAAAGGCAGUGGCUCAACCAUUGUAUGCAUUGGAAACUGGUAGACUUGAGUGCAGGAGAGGGGAGUGGAAUUCCAUGUGUAGCGGUGAAAUGCGUAGAUAUAUGGAGGAACACCGGUGGCGAAAGCGGCUCUCUGGCCUGUAACUGACACUGAGGCACGAAAGCGUGGGGAGCAAACAGG